This 1807-nucleotide long non-coding RNA is filed under the name Limulus polyphemus (Atlantic horseshoe crab). RNAcentral's name for it is "uncharacterized LOC111083952". Lineage: Eukaryota; Metazoa; Arthropoda; Merostomata; Xiphosura; Limulidae. The record is from RNAcentral.
AGAAUAUACACUAGUGACAAACUUUACAGCUGUACAGUGUGUGAAAAACGGUUUAGAGAAAAGGAUCAUUUAAAAGCACAUGAAAGAAUACACACUGGGGAGAAACCUUACACUUGUACAGUGUGUGGAAAACAGUUUGCGAAAAAUAGUGAUUUAAAAAUACAUGAAAGAAUACACACUGGGGAGAAACCUUACAGUUGUACAGGGUGUGAAAGACAGUUUGGAAGAAAGGGUCAUUUAAAAAUAGAUGAAAGAAUACACACUGGGGGGAAAAGUUGUACAGUGUGUGCAGAACAGUUUGGAAUAAAGGGUCAAUUAAAAAUACAUGAAAGAAUACACACUGAGGUGAAUCUUUACAGUUGUUCAGUGUGUGAAAAACAUUUUGGAAAAAAUGGUGAAUUAAAAAUACAUGAAAGAAUACACACUGUAGAGAAACCUUACAGUUGUACAGUAUGUCAAAAAAAGGUUUGGAAGAAAUAGUGAUUUAAAAAUACAUGAAAGAAUACACACUGGGGUGAAACCUUACAAUUAUACAGUGUUUGAAAAACAGUUGGAACAAACAGUCAUUUAAAAGUGCAUGAAAGAAUGCACACUGAGGCGAAACCUUACAGUUGUACAGUGUGUGAAAAAAGGUUUGGAAAAUUGGAAAAAGGACAAUUUUAAAAUACAUUAAAGAAUACACAUUCAGGAGAAACAGUUGUAAAGUAUGUGGAAAAACAGUUUAGAAGAAAUAGUGAAUUAAAAAUACAUGAAAGAAUACACACUGGGGUGAAACCUUACAGUUGUAUAGUGUGUGGAAAACAGUUUGGACGUAAUUCUAAUUUACAAUAUCAUAAAAUAUUACAAACUGGAGGGAAACAGUUGUAAAGUGUGUGGAAAACAGGUUAGAAGAAAGGAUCAAUUAAAUGUACAUGAAAGAAUGCACAGUGUGUGAAAAACAGUUUGUAACAAUGAGUGCUUUAAGAAUACCCAAAAGUACACACACUGAGGAAAAACUGUAUUGUUGUUUGAAUUGACGAAAACAGAUUGGGGAAAAAAAGUCACUUAAAACAACAUAAAAAACACACACUAGGGAGAAUGCUUGUAGUUGUACAAUGUGUGGAAAAAACUUUAGAUAAAAUGGUUCCUUAAAAUAUCAUGAAUGUAUACAUACUGGAUAGAAACCCAGAAGUUUUAAGUUUUGUAGAAAGCUAUUUCAAAAUAACUCUUAACUUAAGAAAUCACAAUGAAUGCAUGCUGGGGUGAAACCUUACAGUUGUGUGGUAUGUAAUAAAGAGCUUAAAACAAAUAGUGUAUGGAAAUAUCAUAAAGGAAUACAUACUGUAGAGAUAACUUACAGUUUUUCAGUUUAUUGAAAACAGUUUGCAACUAACAAUAGAUUAAAAACACAAAUUUGAGAGAAAUUAUACUGUUGUCUACUGUGUUGUGAAUAACUUGGAACAAACAGUAACUACAAGUGAAUGUGGUAGUUGUUUAUAAGUUGUUGAACAACAAGAGACAAGAUUUAUGUGUACAGACCUGUCUUUGGAGUGUUUUUGAUACCUGUAAUUGGGAGUUAUUCUGUGUUAGUGUUGAGAUGAUAAAGUGACAACAAAAGAAAUUUAACAAUUCAUUAGAACCAGUAUCUGUAUAUUAAUAUUCCAGCAUAUACUGAGAAUGUGCUGCUAUGAUUGAUUAUCACGUAUUUCAGUAAACACUUACAGCCUUCUGGGACUUGAAUGUUGAAGAAAGUGAUCAUUGAGUUUGUACUGAGAUUAUUGUGUUAUAAACAUGAUAAAAAUAAAUAGAAUAUUGAUAAACACUUUAA